AAAGUUGACAGUCCUGUUCAAACGUGUUUUUGUUCUGUUCGCAAACAAUUUAAUGUUGUUUCGCGAUAAUCACAUAUUUUGUAAAAGUAAACCGCUCAAUUAUCGGUUCGUUCGCCUUUUUCAAUGCUAAAUGCAGUUUUUAUUAUCUCUAUAUUCCGGCGAAGGGAACAUCAGGAAUGUUUGCCAUACAAACAAACCAAUUCACGUAUCUUUUUGCAAGCCACGGAACUAUCUAAUUCCGACAAAAAUAGCUAUGCUGUAAAUGCUUUUAAUCUGCUGCAAAGAUAAUUUUCCAUCAACUACGUGAAAUCUAGGAUUGAUUUUAAGGUUGUGUCGGUUGUACAGACAGUCGAAGCUUUCCAAAAACCAAACAUUCCGAUGGCAAAACUGAAGGCCAGCUUCAGAACUUGAUUCACGGGUUCAAUUGAGUUAUAAUUGCAAAAUGCCUUUGUUUUCAAUGUGAAACUCAAAGUAUAGGAGAAUAAGUUCGGAUAGUUGUUCCCUCUUGUGCGAUUGUUAUUCGGAGCAUUUUCAUUUCGCACAUACGGAAAUGGUCGGCCGAUUUCCAGUACAGAGCGGAACUGACUAUGGCAUUGCUUGUAGCAAAACAUCCAGAUUUAUUCGGAUUAUUGGCCACACUCUCGCAAUAUUUGACAAAGGUUCGUUUUAUCAACAAAACAUCAGCUUUGGUACUACAGUACUUACGCUAAUGAGGAUCCACAAUAAGAACAUCUGCAAUGUCAAACAGAUGCAGCAGUUGUGUGAUACCUAUUGAGGUGCAAGUAAUGGUCAAAGUAAUAGGUGACAAUAUGCUGUGUUGACAAGCGAAUGCAUGGAUACAGCUGCGGUUCGUGUCAUAGAUGUUAUAAUCUCUUACACUAAUAAAUAACCACAAUCAUGGCAACUUAUUGGUACAGUUAUAUAAGGAAUUUGGUGCGAAUAAUACGGUCAACGAGCUGGACCCAAAUUGAAGACUGAACACUUAUCAGCAAUACAGCCCAACUUUUCCGGCCAAAAGCACCUGAAGGAAUUUGUUAAGAAACGCCCUCUGUACAUGCCAGUCGACCUGUUCGGAUGUUAUUAACUAACGCUGCCACCUAUGUACCCGUAAACGGGAACUCAACUGCUUGAUGGUUGCCAUCGAUAAGAAUCAGCCGUUUUAACGCAGUAUUCAGAGUGAUUCUCAUGAUACUAUCAAUUGCUGAUUUCGCUAGUCUACCGGGAUGACGAGUUUGUCAAACAAUGACAAGUUACUCCAAGAGAAACUCGGGCAAGCCACUCAAAAAUACACAGCAGCAGAUAUAUUUACAGGUUAACAAUCAGGAUCAUUAUACAUCAUCGAAUAUAUCUGCGGAUGGUGGUUAGGUAUAGACUGAAUCACUAUUUUCCUGGGCAGAUACGUGAUGAAUAAGAAGGAGCACCGUGGAAAGUCGAGAUGAUGUACUCUAAUCGAUGACACAGGAUGCGCUAAAGAUUAGAUACACGCCGAAAGAAUUCGUCAAGCGAUUUGGAGCCGAAGAAUACAUGUUUCUUGGAAACCAAGGGUGUAACUUAAGCUAUUGAGUAUCAUUGUCGACCACUGCAGAAGCACAAAUUUGCAACUACCAUUUGCAGAACGGGAGCGACACCGCUCAACGGCAGUAACUUGCUGACCCUGACAACUCAAGGUGUAGCUCAAGUUCGUUCCAACAUAAUCAGAGCCAACUAUUUUCAAAUAAUUAUACCCUGUGACUUCGUUCACCAAAAUUAUUCAAUCGAUAGAUCAUCGAGGUGAUGGCACACACAGUAAGAUGUGCAAUUAGCUAAAUCCGAUCGGCAAAUAGGCAAGAAGCAAUGUGUGGGAAAUAAUUAUUUCUGUAGUAUACAUACAUUUCGAUUACUGUUACAACCACUGAGAACAUCUGACAUUGGAAUGUACUUCUUUGUCUAGUAAAGAUAAAGCUAUAGUUGGUAAAGAGCCCUAACAUGCAUCAUCGACAUAGGAAGUUAUUGUGUGCAUAAUGCGGACUAUAUUAUAUCGCUCACCGAUAUGCACGGUAGAAUCUACAUGUCUUCAAUCCGACCAAAAGACCUUUUUGUUAAGCACCUAUUCUACGAACCGCUCAUUAUCAUGGUCGUGCACAUAACCCAACUAUUGGCUGACGACAACAAGCAAUCUUUAAUAACUGUUGAGGACGGAUGAAUUGAUAUCCUCCGUGCUAUGCUGCCACGUUUCGAUUAUAGUAGUACCAAUAAAUUAUCCAGGCGGUUAGCGGUGUGGAGCGUAAGAUGUUUAUUCUGAGAAUAUUGGCAAGGUCUCAAACUUUCGGUAUGGUUUGUUUAUGAGGUACAGUUUCAACAGUUGCAUGUUGCAUCAUGAGCCGGAGCCGACUCGUAAACUUAUAUUUGUGGUUCAAUAGAAGCAUGUCUUCACUACCCACAUGCGCAAGAGCAAAGCUGGCCGGGUAACAUCUUGUAAGAGGGUGAACGUCUGCAAUACGCUCCUAAUCGACAUAAAUUUUUGUACGUGCAUUUACCAGGGAAUACCCUGUACCAGCCAAUCAUCGCAUUACUUCGUUCUACAACUACUUCAAACCCAAGGUUUUGUACUUUACGUAUCUGUUGUUUCACACGUAUGCUCGGCGUAACUAUUCGGUUCUGAUUCGGAACAACGACAGCAGUACGGUACUCCUUCUUGAUCAAGCUGGCUGAUGCAAGCUUUGGUGAAAUCGAUGAAACUCGCAUGUUCCCGAUCAAAAUUGACCUGUCCAGAAUCUAUUUAUUGGGAGUACCAUUGGACCACGACUGAUAUCAAAACUGCAAUAUAGCUCGAGGUCGACGAGUUCCAAUGCUUCACAUAUUAUUGUCCUGUGUACUAGUUUAUCUUAGCGCGCGCGAAAUUAGAUUGCAUUUGUAAACGAUUUCAUUUUACCGGAAACAGAACGUUUCUAGAUGGUUAUCUUACUCAAGCAGUUCGUCAAAGAUCCAACGAUUAGCGCAAUGGCAGUUACAAUUAAGCACUAUUCUUUAAAAAAUCUGACAAAUAAAUUUAAAAAAAUGU
Molecule: long non-coding RNA, 3040 nt
Organism: Topomyia yanbarensis
Lineage: Eukaryota; Metazoa; Arthropoda; Insecta; Diptera; Culicidae
Exons: 6
Source: RefSeq, a predicted model, not a curated record